RNAcentral lists this ribosomal RNA (253 nucleotides) under uncultured bacterium. Its description in RNAcentral is "partial 16S ribosomal RNA". It matches the Rfam family "Bacterial small subunit ribosomal RNA", at positions 524 to 776 of the family's 1533-position model. The record is from RNAcentral.
UACGUAGGGUGCGAGCGUUGUCCGGAAUUACUGGGUGUAAAGGGUCCGCAGGCGGGCAAGUAAGUCAGAGGUGAAAUGCUUCGGCUCAACCGAAGAAAUGCCUUUGAUACUGCUUGUCUUGAGUUCGAGAGAGGAUAGUGGAAUUCAUGGUGUAGCGGUGAAAUGCGUAGAGAUCAUGAAGAACACCAGUAGCGAAGGCGGCUAUCUGGCUCGAUACUGACGCUCAGGGACGAAAGCGUGGGUAGCAAACAGG